RNAcentral lists this unclassified non-coding RNA (2222 nucleotides) under Hevea brasiliensis (rubber tree). The record is from RNAcentral. Lineage: Eukaryota; Viridiplantae; Streptophyta; Magnoliopsida; Malpighiales; Euphorbiaceae.
GUAAAAAUGCCCUAAACAGCUGAGUCUCUGGCAAGGAAAAAAGACCUAGGCGGAGCUUCCUUCUCGGUUUCUGAAAUCCGCAAGUUACAGAGUAAGCCCACGCUCUAACGUUUUCAUAUUCUGUUGGGUGGUUAAUUGCCCUGUUGUUUGGCUGCUGAGAAAAUUCUCAAACGGAAAUUCCAACGGUUCUGUCUUUAUAUUUGUGCCGAGUUCAAGUAUAGACUUUGAGGACUGGGUAGAUUAUUGAGUUAGCUUACUUGAAAUUUUUGGGAUUCUAAUUUAGGCCUUCCGAUUAUCUAGUUGUAAACUUAAUGAUGAUUCUUUUGCAUUUUUGUUCCUGUUUUUUUGUUUAAUUUAUCGAGAAAUCGCUAAAACCCUACUUUUUUUACUGUUCAUCCAUAUUUACGUGGAUUUUAUGUGGGCAGAGUACCUGUGAGAACUUUUUGACAAUCUAAACCAUUUGGAAGGUUUUGGACUAACAAAGAGCAAGUCAUAUUAUAAUUCCGUCUUCUUCCGUCACAGAGGGACUCUAAUUUUAUUGGACAUGACUCUUUUCGUUGCGUUUGUGUUAUUCAUUCAUGGACAACAAUACGGUCUAUAUUUAAUGAUAAUAGAGAGAGGUCUCAGUCUCACUUGACGCUAGUCAUUUGUUGGUCUGUGGCACUUGUACCAAUGCACUUGAAAAUCUAGAGUUUAAACUUUUAUAUUGACUUUCUCUAUUAUGCAUAAUUCAUUCCAUGAGUUACUUAUUUUCCUCAAAUGUGACCCUAGAAUAUUAUAAGAUGGGCAAAUUCAUUUAAUAUGCAUGAAUCUAGUUAUCAUUUCUUCUGUAUACUGUGUUGAAGCAGGGAAAAAAAAAGAAUGAGUACAGGUGGAGAAAAGGGAUCAACAACUACAAAAACACCAGCUGAUUUCCUUAAAUCAAUUCGCGGGCGACCUGUUGUAGUUAAGCUCAAUUCUGGAGUUGAUUAUAGAGGUUUUUUGCUCUUUAUAGUGCUCCAUUAUGCUUCAUGUUGCAUUUUAGAUCAGUAGAGAUUGCUGCAUUGGAUCAGCCAGUAUGAGAAUUAAAGCAAACCAGGAAUGUCUUAUAUACUGUUGCAAUUUUAUCUUUUUCUUCAUUGACAUUGAGUCUGCUGCAAGGUUUCCCUCUAAAAAUUUUUGUUCAUAAAGGGGUAGUUGACGCCCAUAGAGAAGUUGAGAAAAGGGAGAUUAAGAUACCUUGGGCAUGUGCAUUGUAGAGCAGCAAAAUGCAUAAAUAUUGAAAGUUGAGAAUAUUGAAGUUGUAGGAGAAAGGAAACUGUGAAACCGACCUAGGAUGCAUGGCAUGGGGAAAGUAAUGAAAAAAGAUUUUACAACUGUAAGUCUUUCUGAAAAUGUAGCUUUGAACUGGGUGAAAUGAAAGGAUCUAUAUAGCUAACCAUGACUUGUUUGAAACUAAAUAUUUGUCAAUUCAUCAGGGUGAUUUGAUUGAGUUAAAAAGCUAGUUCACCUUACUUAUGGUGUGCAGGUAUGGUAUUUUGACUGUCAUCAACCAGCUAGUUUAAAAAGGAUUAUACAGGUAUUCUAGCCUGCCUGGAUGGAUAUAUGAAUAUAGCCAUGGAGCAAACAGAAGAAUACGUAAAUGGACAGUUAAAAAACAAGUACGGUGAUGCUUUCAUACGAGGAAAUAAUGUUCUCUACAUCAGUACAUCAAAGAGGACACUUGCAGAUGGUGCAUAGUUUCAAGGAACAAGAACUAAAGAAAAGAACUCUGCCUGAGGACGGCUAUCAUGUGUUGUUUUUAAACUUGCAGUGGAAAUUAUCUUGUUAGUUAAAUUUCGUUGCUUCGUGUGAGAUGAGACAAGAAACGGUAAUUGAACUUUGAACUGUUUAAGGGCCUCCUGUUUAAUAUCCACUGAAACAUUUCUACUUAUAAUAUAUCCAUCCUAUAAAUAUUUAAUUUCUUUAAAGCUAAGAAACAAUGGCGGAAAAAUGCCUAAAGCUAUGCCAAAUACAUUUCAUUAGCAUGCAAGCAAAUUUCUUGUCCUAACGCACUACUGAAACAGUCGGUUUUAUGCAUCCAAUUGAGCAAGUGCUCUGUGCCGUACACGAUAAGAUAAAGGGCUAUACUUGCAAAUAAUAAUGAUAUCUUUUACAUAUUUACACAUAAGAUCUACAUUACAACAAUUUUGUUAUAAACAUGGUGACAUGUGCAGCUUUAUCCCACUACUCAUCUACCAGUU